CAAAGAAUAGUUUAAUUUAGAAUUC
Molecule: transfer RNA, 25 nt
Filed under: Mogurnda adspersa (purple-spotted gudgeon)
Lineage: Eukaryota; Metazoa; Chordata; Actinopteri; Gobiiformes; Eleotridae
Also listed under: 1 other name
Description: partial tRNA-Pro
Source: RNAcentral